Molecule: long non-coding RNA, 282 nt
Filed under: Elaeis guineensis (African oil palm)
Lineage: Eukaryota; Viridiplantae; Streptophyta; Magnoliopsida; Arecales; Arecaceae
Description: long non-coding RNA (EGUI_LNC045468)
Source: RNAcentral
AGUCAUAUGAUAGAUGUGAUUAGCUCAAGUCCAAUAGUGAUUUCAAAUAAAAAUUUCUUUUCAUUAAUCACACUACUAUGGUUAUAAACUUAUGGACUCAGCUUCUCAAAUCUUAUAGGACUAUUCCUCUCUAUCAAGAUCGAUAGAUCCUAUAUAGAAACACACAUUGCUCGCACAGCUCAACCAACUAAAGCCAACAUCUACUAUAAAAACUCACGAUCGAGUUAAUGUUUAUGUGUAGUCAAACUAUAGCAGUCUUACUAUGAGCAAUUAUGAUACCAC